AGUCGAACGGCAGCGCGGGGGCGCUUGCGUCCCUGGCGGCGAGUGGCGGACGGGUGAGUAACGCAUGGGAACGCGCCCAAUUGUGGGGGAUAACCCUGGGAAACCAGGGCUAAUACCGCAUAAUCUCUACGGAGCAAAGCGGGGGACCUUUUCGGAGGCCUCGCGCGAUCGGAGCGGCCCAUGUCCGACUAGCUAGUUGACGAGGUAACGGCUCGCCAAGGCUACGAUCGGUAGCUGGUCUGAGAGGAUGACCAGCCACACCGGGACUGAGACACGGCCCGGACUCCUACGGGAGGCAGCAGUGGGGAAUCUUGGACAAUGGGGGCAACCCUGAUCCAGCGAUGCCGCGUGAGUGAAGAAGGCCUUCGGGUUGUAAAGCUCUUUCGCGAGGGAAGAAACGGCGGCGGCGAACAGCCAGCCGCAACUGACGGUACCUCGACAAGAAGCGCCGGCUAACUACGUGCCAGCAGCCGCGGUAAGACGUAGGGCGCGAGCGUUAAUCGGAAUUACUGGGCGUAAAGAGUGCGUAGGCGGCUGGCCAAGUCAGACGGGAAAGCCCCGGGCUCAACCCGGGAAGGUCGUUUGAAACUGGUCAGCUGGAGUUCGGCAGAGGAAGGUAGAAUUCCGCAUGUAGCGGUGAUAUGCGUAGAUAUGCGGAGGAAUACUUAGGGCGAAGGCAUCCUUCUGGGCCAGAACUGACGCUGAGGCACGAAAGCGUGGGUAGCGAACAGGAUUAGAUACCCUGGUAGUCCACGCCCUAAACGAUGUCCGCCAGCCGUCGGGGGUUACCCUCGGCGGCGAAGUUAACGCGCUAAGCGGACCGCCUGGGGAGUACGGUCGCAAGAUUAAAACUCAAAGGAAUUGACGGGGACCCGCACAAGCGG
Molecule: ribosomal RNA, 884 nt
Filed under: marine sponge bacterium plateOTU2
Lineage: Bacteria
Description: bacterial SSU rRNA
Rfam family: Bacterial small subunit ribosomal RNA
Source: RNAcentral